This 253-nucleotide ribosomal RNA is filed under the name uncultured bacterium. RNAcentral describes it as "partial 16S ribosomal RNA". It matches the Rfam family "Bacterial small subunit ribosomal RNA", at positions 524 to 776 of the family's 1533-position model. The record is from RNAcentral.
UACGUAGGGGGCAAGCGUUGUUCGGAAUUACUGGGCGUAAAGGGCGCGUAGGCGGCACGGCAAGUCAGGAGUGAAAGCCCGGGGCUCAACUCCGGAAUUGCCUUUAAGACUGCAUCGCUAGAAUUGUGGAGAGGUAAGUGGAAUUCCGAGUGUAGAGGUGAAAUUCGUAGAUAUUCGGAAGAACACCAGUGGCGAAGGCGACUUACUGGACACAUAUUGACGCUGAGGUGCGAAAGCGUGGGGAGCAAACAGG